AAGUAGUGCUGUACAUCCAAAGUUAAAGAAAAAAUGAGUCAGCGCAGCUUGCUGAAAUUCAUCCUUGCAGUCACACUUGUAGCUGUCAUAUUCUCCAUUUGUAAUGGUUUGAAUACUGAUUCUCAGCAUUGUGUGGGACCAUGCAAUCAGUUCUUUCGAAAUUGUGAUGGAUACUGCAAGAAGCUUGGCUAUACGAUUGGACAAUGCGUCGAACAACCUCGCGGUAAUGGCGGUUUCUGCUGUUGUGCCAAACCCACUACUUGAACCAAUUAUAUUUCAAUAAUUUUAUUAAUGGAAAUGUAUUAAAUUCUUAUUUUAUUCCUUUUUAU
Arachis ipaensis is the source of this 329-nucleotide non-coding RNA. The record is from RefSeq and is a predicted model, not a curated record. Lineage: Eukaryota; Viridiplantae; Streptophyta; Magnoliopsida; Fabales; Fabaceae.